GACGAACGCUGGCGGCGUGCUUAACACAUGCAAGUCGAACGGAAAGGCCCUGCUUUUGUUUGGUGCUCGAUUGGCGAACGGGUGAGUAACACGUGAGUAACCUGCCCUUGACUUUGGGAUAACUUCAGGAAACUGGGGCUAAUACCGGAUAGAAUCUCCUGCUCCAUGUUGUGGGUUGGAAAGUUUCGGCGUUUGGGUAUGGACUAGCGGCUUAUCAGCUUGUUUGUGUGGUAGUUGCUGACCAAGGCUUUGACGGGUAGCCGGCAUGAGAGGGUUGCCGGCCACAUUGGGACUGAGAGACGGAGCAGAAUGCUACGGGCGGCAGCAGUGGGAAAUAUUGCAGAAUGGGCGGAAGCCUGAUGCAGAAACCCGCGGUGCGGAAUGCCGGCCUUCGGGUUGUAAACAGAUUUCGAAUGUAACGAAGAGUGAGUGACGGUACUGGGUAAAGAAGCACCGGCUAACUACGUG
Molecule: ribosomal RNA, 468 nt
Filed under: uncultured bacterium
Lineage: Bacteria
Description: partial 16S ribosomal RNA
Rfam family: Bacterial small subunit ribosomal RNA
Source: RNAcentral